Molecule: ribosomal RNA, 429 nt
Filed under: Fusobacteriota bacterium
Lineage: Bacteria; Fusobacteriati; Fusobacteriota
Description: Fusobacteria bacterium partial 16S ribosomal RNA
Rfam family: Bacterial small subunit ribosomal RNA
Source: RNAcentral
UGGGGAAUAUUGCGCAAUGGGCGAAAGCCUGACGCAGCGACGCCGCGUGAGGGAUGAAGGUUUUCGGGUCGUAAACCUCUGUCAGAAGGGAAGAAACCGCACUGUGCUAAUCAGCAGUGCCUUGACGGUACCUUCAAAGGAAGCACCGGCUAACUCCGUGCCAGCAGCCGCGGUAAUACGGAGGGUGCAAGCGUUAAUCGGAAUUACUGGGCGUAAAGCGCACGUAGGCUGCUUUGUAAGUCAGGGGUGAAAUCCCACGGCUCAACCGUGGAACUGCCUUUGAUACUGCUUAGCUUGAAUCCGGGAGAGGGUGGCGGAAUUCCAGGUGUAGGAGUGAAAUCCGUAGAUAUCUGGAGGAACAUCAGUGGCGAAGGCGGCCACCUGGACCGGUAUUGACGCUGAGGUGCGAAAGCGUGGGGAGCAAACAGG